RNAcentral lists this ribosomal RNA (497 nucleotides) under uncultured bacterium. RNAcentral describes it as "partial 16S ribosomal RNA". It matches the Rfam family "Bacterial small subunit ribosomal RNA", at positions 28 to 507 of the family's 1533-position model. The record is from RNAcentral.
GAUGAACGCUGGCGGCGUGCCUAAUACAUGCAAGUCGAGCGAACAGACGAGGAGCUUGCUCCUCUGACGUUAGCGGCGGACGGGUGAGUAACACGUGGAUAACCUACCUAUAAGACUGGGAUAACUUCGGGAAACCGGAGCUAAUACCGGAUAACAUGUUGAACCGCAUGGUUCAACAGUGAAAGACGGUCUUGCUGUCACUUAUAGAUGUAUCCGCGCCGCAUUAGCUAGUUGGUAAGGUAACGGCUUACCAAGGCAACGAUGCGUAGCCGACCUGAGAGGGUGAUCGGCCACACUGGAACUGACACACGGUCCAGACUCCUACGGGAGGCAGCAGUAGGGAAUCUUCCGCAAUGGGCGAAAGCCUGACGGAGCAACGCCGCGUGAGUGAAGAAGGUCUUCGGAUCGUAAAACUCUGUUAUUAGGGAAGAACAAAUGUGUAAGUAACUAUGCACGUCUUGACGGUACCUAAUCAGAAAGCCACGGCUAACUACGUG